This 928-nucleotide ribosomal RNA is filed under the name Hippocrepinella sp. 1157. Its description in RNAcentral is "bacterial SSU rRNA". It matches the Rfam family "Eukaryotic small subunit ribosomal RNA", at positions 1160 to 1816 of the family's 1831-position model. Lineage: Eukaryota; Foraminifera; Astrorhizida; Saccamminidae. The record is from RNAcentral.
AAGGGCACCACAAGAACGCGUGGAGCAUGUGGCUUAAUUUGACUCAACGCGGGAAAUCUUACCGGGUCCGGACACACUAAGGAUUGACAGGUAAAGUAAUCAAUUCUUCUCUUUUGAAGAUUGGUUCUGCAAACAUGCUAGUCCUUUCAUGAUUGUGUGAUAGGUGGUGCAUGGCCGUUCUUAGUUCGUGGAAUAAUCUGUCUGCUUAAUUGCGUUAAUAUAUGGUGUCAGGUUCUAUUCAACCCUCAGUUUGGACGCUCAACCUUUCGGGGUGGCUCCAUUCAGAGGCUGGGGCUUGGCACUCUAUGAAACGAACGUGACCUCAACCUCUUGUUAGCAGAUGUCAUUUGAUAUAAUUUUUUAAUUUAUCAGAAAGGAUUCCGCAUACGAGGGGGAUUGCCAAGUUGAAAGUGGAUGAAAGUUGAGGCAAUAACAGGUCUGUGAUGCCCUUAGAUGUCCCGGGCUGCACACGUGCUACAAUGAUCUAUGCAGUAAGUAUCUACACAGACUCCAACCAUUUGGUUUGGAGCAAGCCUGCUUCGAAAGUAAGUAGGUAAUCAAUUCGAAGUAUAGAUUUCCUUUUUGCCGUAUGUACCUUAUUUUAUAAGGUUCUACAGCUCUUUUUCAAGACUUCAUAGUGGGGACAGACCUUUGUUAAUUGUUGGUCUCGUUUUCAACUAGGAAUGCCUUGUACGGGUCUUUGGUUCAACAAACCACCCGGAAUACGUCCCUGCCCUUUGUACACACCGCCCGUCGCUCUUACCGAUGGACUUUUCUGUGAGUUUGAGGGACCCGGGUUUUUUACUCUUAGUUUUAUUUAUAUCUUAUAUUAAUAUUACACAAAGAAGUAUGAAUUUCCGGGAAACUCAAGCGAACAGCCGGGUCUAAAGGAAAGAGAAGUCGUAACAAGGCAUCUGUAGGUGAACCU